UGGCCUACGGGGGGCAGCAGUGAGGAAUAUUGGUCAAUGGGCGGAAGCCUGAACCAGCCAAGUCGCGUGAGGGAAUAAGGCCCUACGGGUCGUAAACCUCUUUUGCCGGGGAGCAAGGGCCGGGACGCGUCCCGGCCCGGAGAGUACCCGGAGAAAAAGCAUCGGCUAACUCCGUGCCAGCAGCCGCGGUAAUACGGAGGAUCCAAGCGUUAUCCGGAUUUAUUGGGUUUAAAGGGUGCGUAGGCGGUUUUAUAAGUUAGAGGUGAAAUCUCGGGGCUCAACUCCGAAAUUG
RNAcentral lists this ribosomal RNA (292 nucleotides) under uncultured bacterium. RNAcentral's name for it is "partial 16S ribosomal RNA". It matches the Rfam family "Bacterial small subunit ribosomal RNA", at positions 335 to 623 of the family's 1533-position model. The record is from RNAcentral.